CUCCUACGGGAGGCAGCAGUCGGGAAUUUUGGGCAAUGGGCGAAAGCCUGACCCAGCAACGCCGCGUGAAGGAUGAAGUAUUUCGGUAUGUAAACUUCGAAAGAAUGGGAAGAAUAAAUGACGGUACCAUUUAUAAGGUCCGGCUAACUACGUGCCAGCAGCCGCGGUAAUACGUAGGGACCAAGCGUUGUUCGGAUUUACUGGGCGUAAAGGGCGCGUAGGCGGCUUGACAAGUCACUUGUGAAAUCUCCGGGCUUAACUCGGAACGGCCAAGUGAAACUGUCAUGCUAGAGUGCAGAAGGGGCAAUCGGAAUUCUUGGUGUAGCGGUGAAAUGCGUAGAUAUCAAGAGGAACACCUGAGGUGAAGACGGGUUGCUGGGCUGACACUGACGCUGAGGCGCGAAAGCCAGGGGAGCAAACGGGAUUAGAUACCCCGGUAGUCCUGGCCCUAAACGAUGAGUACUUGGUGUCUGGAGUUAUUAGUGCUCCGGGUGCCGUCGCUAACGUUUUUAGUAUUCCGCCUGGGGAGUACGCUCGCAAGAGUGAAACCCAAAGGAAUUGACGGGGACCCGCACAAGCGGUGGAGCAUGUGGUUUAAUUCGACGCAACGCGAAGAACCUUACCUGGACUAGAAUGUGAGGGAAGUCUGCGUAACAGCAGGCGUCUGGGAAACCAGACCCAAAACAAGGUGCUGCAUGGCUGUCGUCAGCUCGUGUCGUGAGAUGUUGGGUUAAGUCCCGCAACGAGCGCAACCC
Molecule: ribosomal RNA, 755 nt
Filed under: uncultured bacterium
Lineage: Bacteria
Description: bacterial SSU rRNA
Rfam family: Bacterial small subunit ribosomal RNA
Source: RNAcentral